UGUUCUAGUCAGUAAUUUUUUAUUAAAUUAAUUAAUUUUCAAGUGUUAAACCAAUCUCAAUCCCAUUUGGUCAUAUAUACGUUAUGGGUUGAAUCAUGCCUUUAAAAAAACUCAUGUUGAAAUUCUAACCCCAAUUACCUCAGAAUAUGACCUCAGUUGCAAAUAGGGUCAUUGCGGGAUGUAAUCCAAUAUAACUGGUAUUCUUAUAAAAGGAGAAAUUUGAACACAGACACAUAGAGGGAGAAUAUAAUGUGAAGAUUAGAGUUAUGGUGGCACAGACCAGAGAACUACCAGAACUUAGAAGAGAAGCCUGGAACAGAUUCUUCCUUCCUACCCUUAAGAUGAACCAACCCUGUCAACACAUUGGUCUUGGACUUUUAACCUCCAGAACUGUGAGACAGUAUUUUUGUUUAGUCACUCAUAUUUUUGGUACUUUCUUACAGCAGCCCUAGAAAACUUAUGUAGUCAUUUUUACAUAUGAUUGGAUUUAUUUUUUAAUAUUUUGUUGGAUUUUAUAUCUCUAUUCAUAACAGAGUUUGGUCUGUAUUUUUCCUUACUUGUGAUGUUUUUAGAUUUAUACUCUUAGCAUUUCUCUAGUAUGCCAUGUACAUCUUAAUUUAGUGGAACCGACUUCUGAUACAUACUAACUUAUUCCCCCUGAGUUACAGAAACUUUGCUCCUAUAUGAUUCUACUCCUUCUCAACCCUUUUUGUACUGUUAUUGAUAUAUCAUAUUAUAUAUUAUUACAACUCUAUGUUACAAACACAACAUUA
RNAcentral lists this long non-coding RNA (773 nucleotides) under Marmota monax (woodchuck). The record is from RNAcentral. Lineage: Eukaryota; Metazoa; Chordata; Mammalia; Rodentia; Sciuridae.